RNAcentral lists this ribosomal RNA (102 nucleotides) under Staphylococcus aureus. RNAcentral describes it as "partial 23S ribosomal RNA". It matches the Rfam family "Bacterial large subunit ribosomal RNA", at positions 2823 to 2925 of the family's 2925-position model. Lineage: Bacteria; Bacillati; Bacillota; Bacilli; Caryophanales; Staphylococcaceae. The record is from RNAcentral.
CGGUUAUAAGAUCCCUCAAAGAUGAUGAGGUUAAUAGGUUCGAGGUGGAAGCAUGGUGACAUGUGGAGCUGACGAAUACUAAUCGAUCGAAGACUUAAUCAA